RNAcentral lists this long non-coding RNA (757 nucleotides) under Rattus norvegicus (Norway rat). RNAcentral's name for it is "long non-coding RNA NONRATT017014". Lineage: Eukaryota; Metazoa; Chordata; Mammalia; Rodentia; Muridae. The record is from RNAcentral.
ACAUGUCCUUUUUUGACUCCCAGCACCUGGCUCCUCCAGGGGCAUGGUGCGUGCUACUGACUGAGCCACAGAUGACAAAAGAGGAGGUUCCAUGGGAAACGGGAAAAGUCAAGAGGAAGUGAGCUAGAUGGGCCCAUACCUCUUUAACUUUGCAGGAGAAUCGGAGCCUAACCAUUAAACUUCGGAAACGGAAGCCAGAGAAGAAGGUGGAGUGGUCAAGUGACACUGUGGACAAUGAGCAUAUGGGCCGCCGCUCAUCGAAAUGCUGCUGUAUUUAUGAGAAACCUCGGGCCUUUGGUGAGAGCUCCACCGAGAGUGAUGAGGAUGAAGAGGAAGGCUGUGGUCAUACGCACUGUGUACGGGGUCACCGCAAAGGACGGCGUCCUACAACCCCAGGACCCACCCCAACCACUCCUCCACAGCCUCCUGAUCCCUCUCAGCCCCCUCCAGGACCUAUGCAGCACUAAAUCCCUCUCACCAUUCAUGUGUCUGCCUGGCCCCAAAUGUAUCCAUCUGACAUGGGGACUUAACCCAUGGUCUGGUCCCUUCUCCCGCCCCCUUCUUCCCUCUCCUGCCUGAUUGAGAAGAGGAAGAGGAGGGCGGAUACAGACCCUGUAAUUCUGACUUGCUGCUGUUCCAGAACCCAGGCUUUGGGUUCUCCCAGCCCCUUCUUCCCUACAGUUUGCCCCUGUGCCUGGGAUCCAGGCAUCUUGGUCCCAAUUUAUCCCUUUUGUUCUCACUGCCAAACUACCUGUCC